UAAUAAGGAAAAUUGGGCAUGGGGUAUGUGGCUUUUCUGUUAUUUUCACACUUACUCUGUAUAUUUAAAACUGUUCUAACUUUAUUAAGAAGACACAAAAUACCAAGUAGUGAGUUCUGGGAGACGACAGAGUGGAACACUGAAUGGGAGUGGCCAUGAGGAAUGACUUGGAGGAAUCACCUUCUCCCUGCCAUGUGUUCCAUAAGAAUUAAACCAGAGGAUAUGAGAAAGAAUAACAGAUCAGUUUGAGAGGGCUCUUUAGGGGUUGUUGAGAAAGCUCCCCCUUUCUCUAACCAGAGCAUCUAGACUCUGCUUUCUUCCCCUCCUCCCAUGGAUUUGUCAGCGCUCUGUGGUGCUUUGUGAUGGCAUGUCACUCCAGCGCUACCAUUGGCUGGAGUAAUUUCCUGCUGACCAAUCAAAGCCAAAGGGUGUGGCUCCUUAUUGUCCUCAAAGGCUAUAUAGAGAGAGGUCAGUAACCCUGGAGUGGGCCACUGUUGCUACAACAUGGCAGAGAUUACUGAGGCUCUGGAGGAGUCUAGCUCAUAUCCCGAAGCAGAAACUUCAGACGCAAAAGAACAAACUCUGAGCAUCGAAGGGAGGGAGCAGACCCCAUGUCAACUCAAGGACAAAGAGAUGGAGAAGAUUAGGAAGAUACUCAGGAAGGUUAAAUUAGCCCGGAAACUGACUAUGGAAAGACGAAAUAAAGGGAGAAAGUCAAUAAUGCUAGUCUGUUACCACAGACAUGGUAAAAAGAAGAAUGAAAAUCAGCCAAAGAAGGAUUAAGAAAGCCUGUCUCCCCCUUCCCUGUGCGUACCAGGAGUCAGAGAUCUUGAAGCAUCUGUUCUGUCUCCAUAAAAAUCUCUGGGAUCAAAAUUUUGUGUUAAUGGUUGUCUGUGAGAGGACCAAAUAAAGUAUGCUGAUGUUGCUGAUUAAAACACCAACAAGUUGUACAAAG
Molecule: long non-coding RNA, 955 nt
Organism: Felis catus (domestic cat)
Lineage: Eukaryota; Metazoa; Chordata; Mammalia; Carnivora; Felidae
Exons: 2
Source: RefSeq, a predicted model, not a curated record